Molecule: long non-coding RNA, 9469 nt
Organism: Passer domesticus (house sparrow)
Lineage: Eukaryota; Metazoa; Chordata; Aves; Passeriformes; Passeridae
Exons: 3
Source: RefSeq, a predicted model, not a curated record
CUUAUUAGGUCCCAAGAACAAGAGACUAUUUUUUUUCCCAUGGAUUUCACUCAAUGUUAUCUUUAAAUAUCUGCCUUUUUUUUUUAAUUGAGUCACUUUCUUUUGGAUGCUACUACACUGACUUUGUAUGUAAAAUAGCAGAGCAAUUUCACACCCUAGAAGGAAUUUAUUUUCAUAAAAAUAAACACAGUAACUUUUUUAGGUGUUAAAACAUAAAGUAAAAAUAUAAUUUAAUAGUAAAUCAUUGCUUAAAAAUGCAUCUCAUCCCAAAAUUCUGGGCUACUCAAUGUUCUUAAGAGGUUGUAAUGAGCUGAAUUCAUUGGUUAAAUUAAAAUGCUUUUUCUCAUAUUCAGUAAAUGCAGUGUGUGUGCAAUUGAACAAAAAUAAAAUUGAAAUUUACAUUUUCAUCAAAUGAAUAACCACAUGCCGAGGAUUGCUUGACUGCAAUUUAUGAUUAUGCAAAUGAAACAGGUUUUGCAACUAGGAUAUGUACAAUAAAUGGGAGUUCCAUUAUUAUGUAUCAAAAAGCCAUUAACCUUGAAAAUUAUAUACAAUUGACAUGAACAUUUCUAAAAUAUAUCCAAAACCUGCUAAUGUUCCCCCUUCCUCCCCUAUGUAUAGGGCCUGUACAUUAGAUUUAGCAAAAGAAUUCAGAGUGAAUAAUUUUUUAAAUGAGCUCUGCCACUUUUAUGUUGGUGAGCUCUCUGUGACAACUUGCUGGGUCCUUUAUUCAUUAUUUAAAUCAGGAAAUGCUGCUGAUUAAUUCCUCAUCUGCUGACAAGAACGUGCAUUCCAAAAGCUUUUCAUAACCAGAAUUUGCUGUUUCAAAGUCCUGGUGAGGCAGCAGAGAGGGGGUGCUGAGGCUCAUGGCAGCUUCCCAGGUGACAGGUUUCCCUGUUGGGAGCCCUCCCCUGGCUACUCUCUGAGCAUUGCUGGUGUUUGAUGGGUAUAAAUCAGAUUUUCCUCUUCCUCAGGGACAAAAGCAGCAGAAGUGGAAGGAGAACAGGACCGGCCCAGAACACGCCAUCGGUUCUGGCUCUGCCUUGGUAUGGCAAGGCAAAGCAAACAGCCCAGAGCUUAAAGCCUUGAGAUAAUUUUCCAUGUAAUUCCUAAAAGAUGGUGCCUUUCUGAGUGGCUUUUUGGCUUGUGGAGAGGAGCCCCUUCUGUGGCACAGGCAGAGUGGGAAUGCUGGAGGUGCAGCCCCAGUUCUGGGGCAGGUUUGGCAGCUGCUGGGGGGUUGCAGUGCUCAGAUCCUGCACGCUCCAGCUGCUGCAGUCCUCACCCAGAAACAUUACCAGGAAAUCUCCAAGGCUCCCAGUGCCCUGCUAUGGAUUGCCAAAACUUUGAAAAGAAAAAUACACAUCACUGAGUGGUCAAAGAAUAUAAUGUUUCCAUAGGCUGGUUCUCAAGUGGUACCCCAAAGCUGGUCUGUUCUUUCAAUGACUGUUUCAUGGCUUUGCGGAAGUGUUUCAGCUGUAUCUCUGUGUCAGUUAUGCAUAAGGGUUUGAUAUCCUGGGGUUUUUUUGCCAUAGGAGGAUUUCACAGGAUGGUACACAAUGUGUAAGGUACCAAGUUUGUUGGUAGGAGAUGUCCUUUUGUCUGUUGUCCACAAUGUUUAAUUUGCCAGAAUUUCUGAGAUUCCUUUUCCUUACAUGCCCAGAGCUAUCACAGGAGACUGCUUAUAAUCUUUUAUAGAAAAUAAAUCAAAAUAAUACUAAACAUGACCCUCAUCAUCCUAAACCUAGCACCCUUUGGCUGCUCUUUUCUUCCCUUGUCUCUAUAAGAAAGUGAAUUCACUUUUGGAGUGGACUUUACAUCUAAACCACUGCCAAAAAAAUGCUAGCAUAGGGCACUAUACAGAUUAGAGUAGAUGGAAGUGUCAUAGAUGGGAAGGAGGACAGGAGGAGCUGGAAAUCUGUGUAUGUUUGGUUCAGUGUAAGGGUAGACACUGAUGUUUUGAGGAUUCUAAAAUAGAAAAUUGAGAGUACAACUGAUUCCACUGGCAAAACAGAAAAGUCUUGUUACAGACUUGGAAAAACCUGCAGGAGAAAGGGACAUAUGGAUAUUUAAUUAUAAUUUUUCAAUAUUACUUUUGAUCACAGGAAAUAGUCUUGUGACUUCUACUGAAGGAGGCUGCAGCAGCUCAACUCCCAAGAGCUGCUUUUGGCUGUAACCUUAAAUAAUCAUCUUCAUUCAAAUAGAAAAGGGGCAUCUUGUGUUACUUUUGAACUAGAAAAUUAUGCCCAGAGUUCAUAGAUAUUGCAGAGGAAUGUACUUAAAAUGCCAUUACCCAAAUUUUCCCUAAAACUGGUGGGAUGUGUUUGAACUGUGAAGUUUGACCUGAUGGGGGAUGCAGGUGCAUCCUGUAGGGUUAGCAAAGCUUUUGCUUUUUUACUUUAAGGUGGUUUAAUGUUUCUAUUCUAUAUGAAGGGUUGAAUUAAAGAACCCUUUAAAACAAUUUAAAGUUGGGGUUUUUUCCCCCUAACACUGUAUUUGCUGUCUAUUGCAAGGCCAUUCAGUAUCUACCUGGGGUGAGCUCUUGGGCGCCAUCAGCCUUCCCAGGUGGAAUGGCCCAUGGAAAUCCUUCUCACAUUGCUUCUUCCACCACAAGGAUGCAGCUGAGUGCUCCUGGGUGUCCCUGUUUACAUGGAAACACAAAAGAAAGUGGCUGUUUGCUCACACUGGCUCUUGCUUUCAUCACAAUCUACUGAGACAUCUUGGAAAAACAGCAUUUUUUUUUGUACUUUAACUCCUGAAAAAAAUCUGUCACAGAAUGGAUCAUGACUGAGCAUUUCAUGUGCUGCUGCUGCUAAGUUUGCCAGGGAACAACAGAAUGCCAGAUCUGUGUCUUAUUUUUCAUAACUCUCUGUAAACACCCCCCGAAUUAAUCCUAAGAAAUACCAGAAAUGCUAAUAUCUACUCUUUGUGUGUGCUCACAGAACAGAUUUAGGACACUCAUUUGAAGGCUGUAGAUAAAGCCAGCAUUUGCCAUAAGUUAAAAGCAUCCUUUUGACAUCUCUGGAACACAUUUCUCAAAGUACUGAGGAGUGAUAGAACUUUUAAUUCCACCAACAUGUCUGAUGUGUUCAAAUGGAGUGGUGCAGAACCCCACAGCCUCCCGCUCACCCUGCAUGUCCGAGUGCUGUGCCAGGGUUUGUGUGAGCACAUGGGAACACCCUCCCAAACCUGCCCUAACAGCUCCCAAACUCCUGUCAAAUAGGAUCUUUCUGGCAUCAUCUGCCUGCUGCGGUGCUCAUCCUCUCUUUCCUGAGGGUAGCAGUCAGCAGUGACCUCAGCACCAAUUCCUUAUUUUAGGGUAUCACAAGUUGGUGGGGCUGAUACCCCUCUGGGAAUAAGCUCAUUUUCCUCUGCUGGCAAAUACCACUCAAGAGUUUAUUCAGGGCUCCUGACUCCUGUGAAUUAGGAGUAAGAAACAUUUUUUAACAUGAAAAUGAGGCUGAAGCAGAAAAUGAUGGCUGUAAAGUAGCCUUGGUUGGUGCUUUCCUCAUCAAACAAGGAGCCUUAUUAAAAGACAAAAAAUAAUUUAAAACCCCUCCAUGAGGUACAGGUCUGUGAAGAGUUUUUAUUAUCUCUAACUCUUCAGCCACUAGGUGGUGGGAAAGUUGCAAUCUGAGAGGACUCAGGGACCUGAUCUGCCCUCCCAGGGUUAAUCCACAGCAGGCAGGAGUGAACAUAGCAUUCCUUAAAUCCUCGUGAAAUUUACCCUGAGGUGGCAUCUGGAUUGUGGCAUUGCUUUGUACAUCUCUAUCCAAAUGAGCUUUGUGCUGGAGAACCUUGUCCGUGUUACCAGGGCAGCUGGCAUGAAAAGAAUCCCUUUAGUGGCCAAUUUCAGUGGAGAAACGGAAACAAAUUAUCAAGAGGCGAGUUCAUGCUAAAUUCAAAGUACCACAGCCACAGUGCUGGCAGUGCCUGUUCUGAAGCUGACUGGUGUGCUGCAUGCCUGCAACCCCUGUGCCAUUAAAUAACUGAGAGAACUCCUAGAACACUUCAAUACAGAGUGCAAUGACUAAUUUUCCUCUCAGUUGCUUCUGUGGCUGAUAGUAUAAAGAGGAGGUGUGCAGUACUCCCAAAAAUAUUGUGUGCAUGGGCUGAGCCUUUCUUCCACAGUGCUCUGGAAUUUGCUGAGCUGGUUUUUUGUGUGGACAUUUGGGGAGGAAAUGGUUUGAUUUGAAAAUGUCUUUACCAGGUUUAUGACUCCCUGCUCUGCUCUGAAGGACAGCUCCAUAAAUACUCCUGGCUCUGGGAUCCCUCGCCAGGAUCUCUGUGGGGUGGCAGAUUCAUCACCUCCCUUUUUGAUCUUGGAAAUGAAUUGAAGUCCCAUCUUCUAAUGCAAAUGGCUGUGAUAGCAGCCCUUAACGAUUGAGGUAACUCCAGAGCAGGCUUUGGGAGCAUCAGGUGAUGGCAAUGCCUUUGAUUUAUGUGCCACCUUUCAUUACCAGCCAUCUCAAAGCACCUAUAAUUUCUGGCAAACCUGUGCUGAGUUAAUGGGUUAUUUCAGAGUCUAUUCAGCAAUAACUGUUAAGUGUUCAGAAGGAAGACUGAUUGAUGGGUGAGAUGGCCCAGAACUUUAAUUAUCUUAAUGAACAAUUUUUGAACUUAACAGAAAGUCUAGCACUAACACAAGUGGAGCCAUGAACUUUAAUUCCACCACUCAUUCCAUUAAACCCUGAGCUCAAUGGUAAUUUAAAGCCUUCUCUCUAGCUCUGUGUGUGUUUUUCAGAGGAGUCCACUGAGGCAUUGCUGACACAGAACCACUUCUGCUCUGGAACAUCCCACACCUGCAGAGAGCUCCAGGACCCAGUGACAAACAGCUCCUGACCCCGAGGAAGCUGCUAAAAAAAUUGAUAAGCAAUGAGUCAAGUUUAGCAGAAGGAAACAAAUAUUUAAAGCCUUCAGAAUAGCCCUUGGACAAUUAUUAACAAGCAGAUAUUAAAGACUCUGGUUCGACACCUGCUCCACUGUUUUGUCUACGAUAGGAAACAGAAGUGGUAGAUAGCUGAACCAGGGCAACAGGCACCAGGAAAACAGCAUGAAAGGCAAACAGAUUGCUGUUGAGAAGAUGGUUUUGGGAUGAUCUUAGUGUGAAAGUUCUUUUAAAAUUAGUAAUUGUGAUCACACAUUCAUUGUGUCAUCUACACCUCCUUGUACUCUUCUUACGCCUCUCAGUUAUUGUACUUUUAAACCUUAAUCAUUUUUCCACAGAAAUGAAAUUGUUAUUAGCAUCUGUUGUGUCUGCAUAAUUACUGUGCCUGUUAAAAGGCUUAUUUCUAUUAUUUCCAGAUCCUUUCCACAAAUCCUUACAUUGGUAAUUAGGAUAUCUUGCAAAUACUGGUACUAUGAAAAGGAUCAGAAAUUUUUAGCUUGAACUAACAAUUUCCUUCUGAUAACUCAUACUAUAGGGAGUACCAUAAAAGUAUUAAUAAUAUUAGAAAAAAGCAAUAAUUCCAAGCUGUGUUUUACUGUAUCGGUUGCCAAGGAGAUACAGUGCUGUGGGUGACUUUAGGACCUGGAUUCCUUAUACCAACUACAGCAGAAAUGUCAAGAACAUGAUAAUUAUUUAGGCUAGAAGGAAUUUAAAUAUAGUUUGUUCCACCUGUAUUUUCAUCCUGGAGAUUGAGGAGGGGUCAGAGAAGGCACCUGAGGGUGGGGGCUUGUGUCAGGAGCCCUUUUUGAGCAAUAGGGAGAGGUGAGUUGUGGAGGGUGACUUGAGGUGAAGUCACUGAGUGUCCACACGUGGACUCCUGGGAUUGCACUUCUGGGUUCCCCCGUGCCUGUGGGGAGCAGCAAGUGGGCACAUCCCCAGAAUGGCCUUUACACAAACAUAUUCCUACCCACACUUCCAUAGGGCAUUAAAAACAUGCCUGAAGUGCUAUGGGAAAGGCCCAGAGCUGCUGGAGUGCUUGCCAUGGGCUGCUCCCGCUGGGCAGGCAGGGCUGAGGGACAGGAGCUCUGGGGAUGGCCCUGCUCUGAGCCUGGCAAUCCUCAUCCCUCAGGGAGGAGAGGCUGAGCCCUGCAGCCCUCUGUGUGCACAGCCCUCCCUCUCACUGCUCUUCCCACAGUCCACUGAAGGGCUGCUCUGCUGGUCUCAGGCUGUGAUUCUCAGUGUUCAAUUAUCCUGCACAGAUGUUUUCUGCUGUUUCAGCCUCUGCCAGCAGAAGGAAGCUCAACUGCCUCUUACAUUUAUUCCCAAGGAAAAAUGGCUGAAGAGUUUUGAAGCCCCUUUUAGCCAGGUUUCCCUCAAAAGCCUGAUGUGGGUCAUCUCUGAGGAGCUGAAGGACAGUUUGGAGCCUUUCCAUUCCCUGCAGCCCCCUGAGCUGCCAGCCUGCUGGGCCAAUCCCCCACAUCCCAAAGAGGGGUUAUGGAGCCAUGGCUUCGCUGUGCAGGACAAACUUCUGGGAACUGGAGCUGAAGGAGGUGGAAAAGAGAGAUUUGAGCUUUGCCAGGAGCUGUACAUGGCAGCAAAGAGUCCUCUGGGAGAUCGCUCGAGUGAUUCACAGCUUCUCAUUCCUCCAUUUGUUUGUUUCUGUGAGUGAGUGGAUGUGCUGUGUGAGGGUGGCUGUGACCAGUUCUGGAGGCAAAGUUAAGUCUGGUUCCAGUGAUCAUACGGACAAAGCAGGAAAGUUGAGCAGAUCUCAAGGCUGGGCCUGCAGGAUCAGACCUGUCCUGAAGACCUCAGGGAAUGUUUCAAACUUCCCAGUCCUGCCUUUGCACUGGUGUGAGAGCAUCCCAUCCAUUGCUGCAAAACUCCUGGGAACCUCCCUGUUUUUAACAGAUGGCAAAGCAGUGUGGAAAAAGCUGGAAUGCUGAUAGGUUCUGUGCUGAAGUGAGAAAAGGAACCAUCAAAUACUUCUGUCAUCUCAUGGCUGGAUUUCCAGCAAGGACUGAAAUGCCCUGAAAUAGCCCAGCCUUGGUAACCUCCCUGGCACCAGCUGGGUCAGCCCUGUUAGUCCCCAGGUCCUGAGCCUGGCAGUGGGAUUAAGAGCAUCAAAGAACCUUCUCAGAAGUGGAACCAAGUCUUUUUUUAGUGUCUGUGAGCCACAGGAGGCACUGGCUGUGCUCGAGGGCAGUGGUGCACUUUUGCACUCAGGCUUCCAGCUCCUGAGCACCAGGUGUGCCCUCUGAUGGGGCUCCUUCUGCUCCUCUCCAGCCUUUAGCCCACCAGGCCUGGGAAUUUGCUCUGGGAGAGCAGCCCCAUUUUAUAAUCUUUCUUCAAAGAAUAUUUUUGAGACAUGCAAAGGAGAUUUAUUUAAACAGGGAGGUAAAACAAGGCCUAGUAAUAAACACAGAAGCCCUCCCUGUGUUUAAAUUCCUUCCUCACAGAAAUGUUUUCAUAUUAGGUUUCUUUUUCAAUUAUUUUCUUUUCCUAGACCUUGCAGAUGUUCACCUGGCAGGUGUGUUUCUGGUCAGCCUUUAGAGCUCGUUGUGAACAGAGCUGGGGGCUGAGUGCCCUGCCUGCCCUGGGGAUGGGCAGGGCUGUCCUGAGCACCACUGUGGGCAGUCACAGAGGGAAAACAGAAUUUGCAGCUGAAUUUUCCACAAGCACUUCACUGAGCAAAAAUGGCCACGACUGUUUGUCCCCUGGGCAGCUGUGAUUCUCUUUCUAGAAGACAGCAGUUAUGAAAUUAUUCCAAUGUGUGUGAAUUGGUGCUUGUUCUGCCAUUCUCACUGGAUUUAUUGGGGUUGAACUAACAGAAGGAGCAAAACUGCUCCUUAGUCACAUCUCUUGCACAAUUAGCAAUGCCAAUAAAAGCAGUGAGUGUGUGUUAUCCCUGCUCUGUGCUGUGACUGUCAGUGGGAGCAGCACUGAUGUAAUCACUUUCCACCACCAGCACAGGGACCUCUGGGUGUGCAAGAAGCAGCUCUAAUGAGCCACAUUCCAGCAAUCCCCAGCUGGAAAAUGGUUCCUACCUGGGGAAAUUACACUUGGAUACAGAUGGAUAGGACUGCUAAUGACAGUGUCUUAUUGAUAAAAGCACGUUUUUUGUAAAAAAACGAUGAAAAAGCCUUUAGUUACAUAUCCUGCAUGAUGAGAAGGAGCCCGAGCUGGCAGUGAGGGCAGCCCAGAGUGAGGGCAGGAGCAGAAGCCUCUCCAGGGUGUGAGGAGCAGCAGGGUCACUGCUGCAGGCCAGGUUCCCACAAGCCAGGCAGGCUGGAUCUAAGUGCCAGGGCAUGGGCAAGGACGGAAUGGAUUGACCAGGGAGCAAGGAAUUCCACAGGGGCCUUGCCAUCAGCAGGGAAACCCUGCCUGAGGGGCUGCUUGGGGCCUCCACAAAGGAUCUUCAAAAGCCCAAAAUGACUUUGCAGAAAUGAAUGGCUCUGGGCUGGCACGUUCAGGACCGAAGGGCUGACAGAACCUAAAAUGAUUCUCUUAACAGAAAAAUGAGACUCUGGCUCCUCUGCCAAAGCCUAGGGAUCUAAGGCUUUGUCUGGUGCAUACUAAAGAAUGGAAAAAAGGCUUCAGGAGAGAAAAAGAGAUCUCAGAAAGUGAGAAGAAAUAAACAGAAAGAUAACUGAUAUUUACAUUGUGAUCUUCCUGAUUAUUUGCUGUGCUAUUGCAUAAGUUUAUUUACUGAAUGCUGUCUUUUACCAAAUAGAUUGUUUCAUUUCUUCUUGAGAAUUGGUUUCUUUUGCUAUUUAAGCAAGCAGCCCACAGGAAUGCCUUUUCAUGCAUUCAAGUUACUCUGCAGACAGUGCUUGAGGCCUUUAGCAGUGUUUGUUUAGAAUGGGCUGAUUCCCCUCCUGCUCAUUGCAGGGCUCUGCUUUCAGGCAAUGCUUUAUCCAGUCUUAAUGACAAACACUGGGAGGAGGUUUAAGUCCCAAUAUGCAGCAGAAUGACUUUUAUUUGUUUAACUGGCAGCAUGUGGUAACUUCCUUUCCUUCUUCAGUAACCACAAGAUGCAGCCCCACCAGAGAUGUGGUGGUGUGUGUUUGGCACAGAGGAGUUUGUGCCUUUGGAUGCACCUCAGCAGCAGAUGCAAUCCCUCUGCCACAAACCCCUCACACAGAGAUUUGGGCUCUCUUUCCUUCCUGUGCUCCCUUUUGCUUCCAGUGUGGUAACAAUUCAUUCCUGGUUUUAUGCAAAGAGCAAUUAAAAUAAAGUAAGUACUGGCAAAACAGGAUUGCACUUUGGCAGUGGCAGCACGAAGUCAAAGCUGCUCUGGAGGCUGAUAACCUCUGUACAAUGUCUGCACUACAGCGAUUUCCAGCUGGGUGGAAACCCCUCCCUUUUUGACAGAUGCCAUCUGUAGUGUCAAGUUUCAGGUUUCAGCUCUGUCCCACCCUGUCCUGUCCUACUUUUGGCAGAUUCCUUUACUGCAGUUCAGCCAUCCUUGGCAACUCAGCAGCUGCAGGCAGAUUUUCCCUUCCUGGUGCUGCAAAUGCAGAGGAAGAAAGGUGACAAAUUCAGCUGGUGGCAUCAUUUAGUGUGGCAGGGGACUCUAGAGGUAAC